UUUGAUUUUGUUCUUCACGCCAGUACUCAAAAAGCAGAGAAACUUUCCCAUAAUUUCAUUGAUUAGAAUAGUUUUUUGUUUGCCAGGAAGUGUUCGCAAACAUGCCUAUCAGAAGCAGUCAACAGACAAGGCCAUCGCAGAGAAAAUGUCAACAUGGUUCACGAAUGCGCGUGAUCGAGGACUAGGAGGAAAACGUGCGGCGAGAGGAGUUGAAGUCGUCAAUGAACAACAAUUGCCAGGUGGAAAUGACCCUGCCCUGCCAGAGCCACAAAACACUGAUAGUGACAAUUAAGAAUAUUAUAUAACCAUAGUGAUGAACAGUGACUUGCCAAAACAUGGAAAUGCAGGACAAAAUCUCAGGUUUUUGUUUGCCAGGAAGUGUUCGCAAACAUGCCUAUCAGAAGCAGUCAACAGACAAGGCCAUCGCAGAGAAAAUGUCAACAUGGUUCACAAAUGCGCGUGAUCGAGGACUAGGAGGAAAACGUGCGGCGAGAGGAGUUGAAGUCGUCAAUGAACAACAAUUGCCAGGUGGAAAUGACCCUGCCCUGCCAGAGCCACAAAAUACUGAUAGUGACAAUUAAGAAUAUUAUAUAACCAUAGUGAUGAACAGUGACUUGCCAAAACAUGGAAAUGCAGGACAAAAUCUCAGGUUUAUUCAAUGACAUUGGUGCUUUGACAUUGUUGAUACUCAGUAUCAACUGCAAUUCAUUAUAGAAAUCAAAUAAAUAUUUUCAUUUUUUUAUCA
Lineus longissimus is the source of this 745-nucleotide long non-coding RNA. RefSeq lists it as uncharacterized. The record is from RefSeq and is a predicted model, not a curated record. Lineage: Eukaryota; Metazoa; Nemertea; Pilidiophora; Heteronemertea; Lineidae. The transcript is spliced from 3 exons.